RNAcentral lists this ribosomal RNA (994 nucleotides) under Parasagitta setosa. Its description in RNAcentral is "16S ribosomal RNA". The record is from RNAcentral. Lineage: Eukaryota; Metazoa; Chaetognatha; Sagittoidea; Aphragmophora; Sagittidae.
AAGAAAUAUAUUUCUGAAAAAAAUAAGGACCUGUUAAGUGAUUGUAACUCAGAAUAGUAUAAACAUAAUUCUUACACAAUUAAAAAACUAUUAAAGUAGUUUGUUUCUUUUAGUAUAAUGAAUUUGAAACCGAAUUUAAAAGAUUGAUAAAUAUUAUUAAAAAAAUAAUUGCGGAAAUUGAACAAAAAAUGUAAAUCGAUUUUAAAAAACUGAGUUAUUAUCGAAUAAUCAAUAUUAAGAAUUAAAUAUGGUGCAAAAUGGUACCUAACUAAACGAGAAAAAAUAUUAAGAAUCUAAAAAUAUUUAUUGAAUAAUUACUUCUUAACAUUAAAAAAAAAAUAAUUAGAUAAGUAAUAAUUUAAAUUUUUUACAAAAUAAGAAAUAUUAUUAAGAAAUUUACAAAAGUUUACAAAAACCUUUCCUAAAUAUAUAGGUAAUCCCUGCUAAAUAACCAAAUAAUCAGAUUAGUAGCAUAAUUAAUUGCCACUUAAUUGGUGGACUGUUUGAACGGGAUUUUUUUUUUGAGAGGCCUAAUUUAUUACUUAUAAUUAAAGAUAUUAGUCAGUGAAAAUACUUCUAAAUAUAAGGAAGAAGAUAAGACCCUAAAAGUUUUUUUUUAUAGUUGGGGCAACUAAAUUUUAUUCACAUUAUAAAACAUAAAGUUAAUAGUUACUUUAGGGAUAACAGCGUAAUACUAAAUAUUAUGUUCAAAACAAUAUUUAGGAGUAUGACCUCGAUGUUGAACUAAGAGAAUCUUUUAGUAAAAAGAAAAAAUUUGAGUCUGUUCGACUAAACUCUCUUACGUGAUUUGAGUUCAAACCGGCAAAAGCCAGGUUGGUUUCAACCUCCUUAAAAAAAAGAGUUGGGAUAGUACGAAAGGACCAAUCAACAAUUACUAAUAAAGUUAUUAUUAAUGUUUCUUUGUCGAGGAAAAGAACUUCUAAUUCUGCAAAUAAAGUUUUUUAAAAAAUAUUUUUCUUGUAAAAAAAAGUAA